RNAcentral lists this ribosomal RNA (445 nucleotides) under uncultured bacterium. Its description in RNAcentral is "SSU rRNA". It matches the Rfam family "Bacterial small subunit ribosomal RNA", at positions 26 to 518 of the family's 1533-position model. The record is from RNAcentral.
AGAACGAACGCUGGCGGCAGGCUUAACACAUGCAAGUCGAACGCCCCGCAAGGGGGAGUGGCAGACGGGUGAGUAACGCGUGGGAAUCUACCUGGUUCUACGGAAUAACUGAGGGAAACUUCAGCUAAUACCGUAUACGCCCUAAGGGGGAAAGAUUUAUCGGUGCCAGAUGAGCCCGCGUUGGAUUAGCUAGUUGGUGGGGUAAUGGCCUACCAAGGCGACGAUCCAUAGCUGGUCUGAGAGGAUGAUCAGCCACACUGGGACUGAGACACGGCCCAGACUCCUACGGGAGGCAGCAGUGGGGAAUAUUGGACAAUGGGCGAAAGCCUGAUCCAGCCAUGCCGCGUGAGUGAUGAAGGCCUUAGGGUUGUAAAGCUCUUUCAGUGGGGAAGAUAAUGACGGUACCCACAGAAGAAGCCCCGGCUAACUUCGUGCCAGCAGCCGC